GUCAGUGUGAAUGCAUCGGCCACCCCUUUCCAACAGCCGAGUGGAUAUGGGUCUCAUGGAUACAACACUGGUGUUUCAGUCACCUCCAGUAACACGGGCGUGCCAGAUAUCUCGGGUUCUGUGUACUCCAAAACCCAGUCCUUUGAGAAACAAGGUUUUCAUUCCGGUACUCCUGCUGCUUCCUUCAACUUGCCUUCAGCCCUAGGAAGUGGGGGCCCCAUCAAUCCGGCCACAGCUGCUGCCUACCCACCUGCCCCCUUUAUGCACAUUCUGACCCCCCAUCAGCAGCCGCAUUCUCAGAUCCUUCACCAUCACCUGCAGCAGGAUGGCCAGCUACCAUAUUUGCAGAUGAUUCUCUGUUGCCAGCGCCAGCAGGAGGAGCAGGACAUCCUCAAUUUCGUCGAUGACCAGCUUGGUGAAUAAGUAUUACUGUACCAACUGGGCCUCCUCUAGCAGGCCCCUGAAGGCAGUGGAAUAAAAUGAAAUCUUCGCCCUUUAAGAACUCCUGACCUUAAUGUGGUAGUAGUAUCUUGUCCUUGAGGGGAUUUCCUUCCCCUCACCCCUAAGACUUUCACAACCUGGUGACUGGAAAGAACCACCACAAAUCUUCAUUUCCUCCAGAAACUGCUACAUCUACAGCCGAUUUCAGGCAGUAAAGGGAAAGGGAUAGAGGAGAU
Molecule: small RNA, 677 nt
Filed under: Pongo abelii (Sumatran orangutan)
Lineage: Eukaryota; Metazoa; Chordata; Mammalia; Primates; Hominidae
Description: processed transcript
Source: RNAcentral